Molecule: ribosomal RNA, 463 nt
Filed under: uncultured bacterium
Lineage: Bacteria
Description: partial 16S ribosomal RNA
Rfam family: Bacterial small subunit ribosomal RNA
Source: RNAcentral
GAUGAACGCUGACAGAAUGCUUAACACAUGCUAGUCUUUGGCGAAUCUGUGCUUGCACAGGCUAGCCAAGGCGGACGGGUGAGUAACGCGUAAAGAACUUGCCCUGCAGACAGGGAUAACAGACGGAAACGACUGAUAACACCUGAUACAGUUGCCGGCACGCAUGUGCCUGGCAAUGAAAAGAGAUGCUGCAGGAGAGCUUUGCGUCCUAUUAGCUUGUUGGUGAGGUGACGGCUCACCAAGGCGAUGAUAGGUAGCCGGCCUGAGAGGGUGAACGGCCACAAGGGGACUGAGAUACGGCCCUUACUCCUACGGGAGGCAGCAGUGGGGAAUAUUGGACAAUGGGGGCAACCCUGAUCCAGCAAUUCUGUGUGCACGAAGAAGGUUUUCGGAUUGUAAAGUGCUUUCAGCAGGGAAGAAGAAAGUGACGGUACCUGCAGAAGAAGCGACGGCUAAAUACGUG